GACGAACGCUGGCGGCGUGCUUAACACAUGCAAGUCGAACGGUAAGGCCCUUCGGGGUACACGAGUGGCGAACGGGUGAGUAACACGUGGGUGAUCUGCCCUGCACUUCGGGAUAAGCCUGGGAAACUGGGUCUAAUACCGGAUAGGACCACUGCCUGCAUGGGUGGUGGUGGAAAGCUUUUGCGGUGUGGGAUGGGCCCGCGGCCUAUCAGCUUGUUGGUGGGGUGAUGGCCUACCAAGGCGACGACGGGUAGCCGGCCUGGGAGGGUGACCGGGCAUGCUGGGGCUGAGAUACGGGCCAGACUCCGACGGGAGGCAGCAGUGGGUAAGAUUGCACAAUCGGCGGAAGCCUGAUACAGCGACGCCGCGUGAGGGAUGGCGGCCUUCGGGUUGUAAACCUCUUUCAGCACCGACGGAGCGCAAGUGACGGUAGGUGCAGAAGAAGGACCGGCCAACUACGUGCCAGCCGCCGCCGUAA
This 478-nucleotide ribosomal RNA is filed under the name uncultured bacterium. Its description in RNAcentral is "partial 16S ribosomal RNA". It matches the Rfam family "Bacterial small subunit ribosomal RNA", at positions 28 to 523 of the family's 1533-position model. The record is from RNAcentral.